This 402-nucleotide ribosomal RNA is filed under the name uncultured bacterium. RNAcentral describes it as "bacterial SSU rRNA". It matches the Rfam family "Bacterial small subunit ribosomal RNA", at positions 355 to 774 of the family's 1533-position model. The record is from RNAcentral.
UCGGGAAUUUUGGGCAAUGGGCGAAAGCCUGACCCAGCAACGCCGCGUGAGGGAUGAAGUAUUUCGGUAUGUAAACUUCGAAAGAAUAGGAAGAAUUAAUGACGGUACUAUUUAUAAGGUCCGGCUAACUACGUGCCAGCAGCCGCGGUAAUACGUAGGGACCAAGCGUUGUUCGGAUUUACUGGGCGUAAAGGGCGCGUAGGCGGCAAUUCAAGUCAGCUGUGAAAUCUCUGGGCUUAACCCGGAACGGCCAGCUGAUACUGCUUCGCUAGAGUGCUGAAGGGGCAAUCGGGAUUCUUGGUGUAGCGGUAAAAGGCGUAGAUAUCAAGGGGAACACCUGAGGUGAAGACGGGUUGCUGGGCCGACACUGACGCUGAGGCGCGAAAGCCAGGGGAGCAAACG